This 3223-nucleotide transfer RNA is filed under the name Marmota monax (woodchuck). The stretch from base 1273 to 1345 matches the Rfam family "tRNA". The record is from RNAcentral. Lineage: Eukaryota; Metazoa; Chordata; Mammalia; Rodentia; Sciuridae.
CGCGUCGCCGGGGUGUUCCCGGGGCUCCGGGUGUCGCAGGCACCGACCCUGCGCCGCCCCCGCUCGGCGCCGGGGCCCCGGCUGCUCAGGUCUCCGCGGCCGCCGCGCUCCGCCCCGCGCGGGCAGAGGUAAGGCGGCGAGGUCGGCCUCCACCCCUGACUCCCUCCCUGCGCGCGAGACCGGGGUCGCGGCGGGCUCUCCGCACCUCUCGGCCCAACCCGGCCCUGGUUCCAGGCCUCUUCCUCCCUGCCCCUUCCCCUGGGGCUCGCCCUGCACUGGCUCCGCCCGGGGCGUCCCGGCGCCGGGUGUCCCCUGCUCGAGCAGCGGGCCGGCUUUUCCCGCCGGCCGGGCCGACCCGGGGACGCGCUCCGCCGGUGCCUGGCGCACGCCUGCGUCCUCGCAGCCCGGGCGUCGGGGCGCAGCUGGCGACGGGCGUCCGACUUGCCCCUGGGGCUGGAGCGCUGCCCGCUGUUGAGUUUUACGGUGACGGGCUUGGACACCUCGCUCAGCGACGUUUGCUGGGGCUUGCAGUCUGCGGGGCGCUUUCCCGAGACGUUGACAUUGAGCUCGUGCUGGUGCCACUUGCGCUCCCGCUGACUCACAUCUCCUAGUAGGGCCUCCUCAAGAAGAAAAGGAAAAUGAGUUGCAACACAGAAAUGAAAAAACAGCUAAGUACCUUUUUAACAAAAAGACUAAACGUAUGUGUUAGAAUAUUAAAUUUAAUUUGAUUCCUUUAAAAAUCCAAAGGACUAUCACCCCAGAUGGGACUCGAACCCACAAUCCCUGGCUUAGGAGGCCAGUGCCUUAUCCAUUAGGCCACUGGGGCUUCACGCAAACGGCGCCCGGUCACAUGCCUCUUAAACUGUGACGCUGCGGGCUGCGUCAUGACGUCAAACCCAGAAGAUUCCAAACGCAAAAGCUGACCAUACUCACGGAGAAUGGUUGAGAGGAGCCCAGAGGCCUUUCUUACCUAAAAUGAGGGUUAAAACCAUCGGGUUUAAAACGUUUACGACCACGAAGGGACUCGAACCCUCAAUCUUCUGAUCCGAAGUCAGACGCCUUAUCCAUUAGGCCACGCGGUCUUCUCCUGUUAGUGCUUCUGCUAGAAAAUAUAUUUGGUGACAAUGAGACGCAGCGCUACCGGCGCACCUGUGGAUUCAUGGUGCCUGCGAUUCUCGCUGUGACAACUGCGACAGUUUCUGCAGGAGUCACUGCACUACCACCUCCUAGGGGCGGCACCUGGAUCUGUCCCCCCGCUUCCUUGGGCGUCCUGACCACGUGGCCUAAUGGAUAAGGCGUCUGACUUCGGAUCAGAAGAUUGAGGGUUCAAGUCCCUUCGUGGUCAGCUUCAUUUUGGGCGAGCGCCGCGGGUUGCUCACUGCCCUACAGACUUCUGUGAACCUGACAGCGGUCCCCUUGAGUCAGCCUUCCGUUUGCCCUGGCGGAGGUUGUGCUGCUAGUGCUGCUGUCCGGCACUCAGUCUGGGCACGUGCGCCUGGAGGCUCUGUGGCGCCUUCUUGGCCUGCCCCAGUGGCUGAAUGGAUAAGCCAGGGCUUGGGGUUCGAGGCCCUCGUGGGUGGCAUCGGGGAUCCCUCUCAGGAACGUCUAAGUGCGAGGGCUGUGCCCGCCUCCGCGCGGCGCCCGACUCCUCUCCCGCAGCCCGAGUGCGUUUAUUCAUUUCUAGCUGCCCCGGGUCGGGAGCCUCAACACUCCACGGCCUCCAUCUGGGGACUUUUCUACCCGGGAAGAAGGUGUGCGGCCAACUCGCUCGGCCACCCCUCGCCUGUGUGGAGGAACAGAGCAGAGCCCCUCUUGCCCAGUGGAGCCUACCUGGAGGCCGGGCUCCAUUUGGAGCUUGGGGAAAGCUAAAAAUGAUGGGCACUACCCCAGGUGGGACUCGAACCCACAAUCCCUGGCUUAGGAGGCCAGUGCCUUAUCCAUUAGGCCACUGGGGCCUGCGGCACGUGCGGCCUGCCUCUCCUCUGAUGUGCAGUGCGACCUUGCUUGGCCGGGCAGGUCGCAGUCGGGCCGGCCCGGAGCUGCGGGAGGCGAAGGGACCGCACCGGGCUGGGCCAUCGCCACGCUCCGGCCCAGCCGCGGGCGCUCCUCGGAACCUGGGGGCCGCCUUGAAGUCGCCUGGAAAACCUGACCGUAGAUGCGGGAAGACCGAGGGCGGUGGCGUUUCCUGACCAUUUUUGUGUACCUCUAAAGAACUGAUGCAAAAAUCAAGAAUUUUAGGAGAAGGUAGUGCGGGAAGUGAAAGAGAACAGACACGAGGCACGGACACGGAGUCCGUCGUGAGAACGCACCGAUCCAGCCACAACAGGAUCCCGUGUACUGUGCACACCUGUCACGUUACCAACAGGGUGCGUGGAUGGCAGCCGGGCAGAGUUUUCACUCUAGUAUUUUCUUUAAAACUCUAAGUCUAAUAUUCCUUAACACGCGCGCGCACACACACGCACGCACGGUGGGCCAAGGUGCACAGCCGUAAUCCCAGGGACUCGGGAGGCUGAAGCAGGAGCAUGGCAAGUUCGAAGGCAACCUGGGUAAAUUAGGGAGACCCUGUUUCACAAGGAAAUUAAGGAUUGGGAUGUAGUUUAAUGAACCCAGAGUGUCUCUGGGUUCAACCCCAGAACCAGGGGUCAGGGAAGGACAAAACAAAAACCUUCAGCCAAGGACAAAUGUGUAGUCCCAUUGUGCCUACUUCCAGACUUUGCAGGGUAAACAGGACUUGAGCAUAUUCCUCUUUGCUUCUCUCUAAAACAGAGUCUGCAGAAACAGGUCUCCUUCCUCCCCUUACUAGAGCAAGAAGGAAGAAUUUCGCCCAUGUGGCUCCAGUCCACUGCCUUGAGGACUUCUGGCUGUGACUGCUGAGGUUUAAAGGCAGGCAGUAAUCACAGGUCCUUAGGACGAGCUUCUCCUCCUGCCUGAGUUAUGAACCUGCCACUUCCAUCAAGACAGGGAACCUCCUGGCACCUGCAAGUCACCCUGUGCCUCCCCAAGUCAAUGAUCUCCUCCGUCAUGCAAAUCCUUCUCUGACUCUACCACCGAGCUACAGCCCCAGCCCCUGUGCAUGUUCUAUUUUUCUCAUCACAAAUGAUUUUACUAGUUUUCAACUUCAUAUAAAUGAAAUUAACUGUAGUCUAUAAUUUUAUGAGGUCUGGCCUCCUUCACUCAACAUUGUCUUUGAAAUUUCGUUUUUAUGAAUGGGCUCUGCUCUCUG